CCUACGGGGGGCAGCAGUGAGGAAUAUUGGUCAAUGGACGAGAGUCUGAACCAGCCAAGUAGCGUGAAGGAUGACUGCCCUAUGGGUUGUAAACUUCUUUUAUAAAGGAAUAAAACGAGGCACGUGUGCCUUUUUGCAUGUACUUUAUGAAUAAGGAUCGGCUAACUCCGUGCCAGCAGCCGCGGUAAUACGGAGGAUCCGAGCGUUAUCCGGAUUUGUUGGGUUUAAAGGGAGCGUAGAUGGGUUGUUAAGUCAGUUGUGAAAGUUUUCGACUCAACCGUAAAAUUGCAAUUGAUACUGGCAGUCUUGAGUACAGUUGAGGUAGGCGGAAUUCGUGGUGUAGCGGUGAAAUGCUUAGAUAUCACGAAGAACCCCGAUUGCGAAGGCAGCUUACUAAACUGUGACUGACAUUGAUGCUCGAAAGUGUGGGUAUCAAACAGGAUUAGAUACCCCUGUAGUC
RNAcentral lists this ribosomal RNA (460 nucleotides) under uncultured bacterium. RNAcentral describes it as "partial 16S ribosomal RNA". It matches the Rfam family "Bacterial small subunit ribosomal RNA", at positions 338 to 795 of the family's 1533-position model. The record is from RNAcentral.